RNAcentral lists this ribosomal RNA (611 nucleotides) under Ilybius biguttulus. RNAcentral describes it as "partial 16S ribosomal RNA". It matches the Rfam family "Bacterial large subunit ribosomal RNA", at positions 1846 to 2732 of the family's 2925-position model. The record is from RNAcentral. Lineage: Eukaryota; Metazoa; Arthropoda; Insecta; Coleoptera; Dytiscidae.
UUUAGGGUUUAACCUGCCCACUGAAUUAUUGAAGGGCCGCAGUAUUUUGACUGUGCAAAGGUAGCAUAAUCAUUAGUUUUUUAAUUUAAAGCUUGUAUGAAGGGUUGGACGAGGUAAAUUCUGUCUCUAAAUGAAUUAUUAUAGAAUUUAAUUUUUAAGUUAAAAAGCUUAAAUGUUUUUAAAAGACGAGAAGACCCUAUAGAUCUUUAUAUUAAAUUUAUUAAUUAAAAGUAGGAUUUUUAAAUUGGUUAAUAGAUUUAAUAUUUUAUUGGGGUAAUAAAAAGAUUAAAUUAAUUCUUUUUUAAUUUUAACAUUGAUAAAUGAUUAUAUGAUCCAGUAUUAUUGAUUAAAAGAUUAAGUUACCUUAGGGAUAACAGCGUAAUUUUUUUAGAGAGUUCAUAUCGAUAAAAAAGUUUGCGACCUCGAUGUUGGAUUAAAAAUUAUUUUAGGUGUAGAAGCUUGAAAUUUUGGUCUGUUCGACCAUUAAAUUUUUACAUGAUCUGAGUUCAGACCGGUGUAAGCCAGGUCGGUUUCUAUCUUUAGAAAAGUUUUAAAUUUUAGUACGAAAGGACCAAAUUUAAUAUAUAUUAAUAUUUAAAGAGUUUGAUUAU